GGUUAAGCGACUAAGCGUACACGGUGGAUGCCCUGGCAGUCAGAGGCGAUGAAGGACGUGCUAAUCUGCGAUAAGCGUCGGUAAGGUGAUAUGAACCGUUAUAACCGGCGAUUUCCGAAUGGGGAAACCCAGUGUGAUUCGUCACACUAUCAUUAACUGAAUCCAUAGGUUAAUGAGGCGAACCGGGGGAACUGAAACAUCUAAGUACCCCGAGGAAAAGAAAUCAACCGAGAUUCCCCCAGUAGCGGCGAGCGAACGGGGAGCAGCCCAGAGCCUGAAUCAGUGUGUGUGUUAGUGGAAGCGUCUGGAAAGGCGUGCGAUACAGGGUGACAGCCCCGUACACAAAAAUGCACAUAUUGUGAGCUCGAUGAGUAGGGCGGGACACGUGGUAUCCUGUCUGAAUAUGGGGGGACCAUCCUCCAAGGCUAAAUACUCCUGACUGACCGAUAGUGAACCAGUACCGUGAGG
Molecule: ribosomal RNA, 468 nt
Filed under: Escherichia coli
Lineage: Bacteria; Pseudomonadati; Pseudomonadota; Gammaproteobacteria; Enterobacterales; Enterobacteriaceae
Description: partial 23S ribosomal RNA
Rfam family: Bacterial large subunit ribosomal RNA
Source: RNAcentral